Molecule: ribosomal RNA, 370 nt
Filed under: uncultured bacterium
Lineage: Bacteria
Description: bacterial SSU rRNA
Rfam family: Bacterial small subunit ribosomal RNA
Source: RNAcentral
GUAGGCAGCGAGCGUUGUUCGGAGUUACUGGGCGUAAAGGGUGUGUAGGCGGUCGUUUAAGUUUGGUGUGAAAUCUCCCGGCUCAACCGGGAGGGUGCGCCGAAUACUGAAUGACUUGGAGUGCGGGAGAGGUGAGUGGAAUUCCUGGUGUAGCGGUGAAAUGCGUAGAUAUCAGGAGGAACACCGGUGGUGUAGACGGCUCACUGGACCGUAACUGACGCUGAGACACGAAAGCGUGGGUAGCAAACAGGAUUAGAUACCCUGGUAGUCCACGCCCUAAACGAUGCAUAUUUGGUGUGGGCAGUUCAUUCUGUCCGUGCCGGAGCUAACGCGUUAAAUAUGCCGCCUGGGGAGUACAGUCGCAAGGCUG